Molecule: ribosomal RNA, 252 nt
Filed under: uncultured bacterium
Lineage: Bacteria
Description: partial 16S ribosomal RNA
Rfam family: Bacterial small subunit ribosomal RNA
Source: RNAcentral
UACGGGGGGGCAAGCGUUGUUCGGAAUUACUGGGCGUAAAGGGCGCGUAGGCGGUUCGCUAAGUCGGAUGUGAAAACUCUGGGCUCAACCCAGAGCCUGCAUCCGAAACUGGCGGGCUAGAGUUCUGGAGGGGGUAGCGGAAUUCCUGGUGUAGCGGUGAAAUGCGUAGAUAUCAGGAGGAACACCGGUGGCGAAGGCGGCUACCUGGACAGAAACUGACGCUGAGGCGCGAAAGCUAGGGGAGCAAACAGG